This 825-nucleotide ribosomal RNA is filed under the name Pagurus lanuginosus. Its description in RNAcentral is "16S ribosomal RNA". It matches the Rfam family "Bacterial large subunit ribosomal RNA", at positions 1290 to 2811 of the family's 2925-position model. The record is from RNAcentral. Lineage: Eukaryota; Metazoa; Arthropoda; Malacostraca; Decapoda; Paguridae.
UAUUAUGUUAUUAUUAGUAUAAUUUAUAUUAUUUAAAAUCUUAUUUUGAUUUUUAAAAAUAUUAUAAUUUAAAUUAAUAUUUAAAAAGAACUCGGCAAAAAGAUUCUUGCCUGUUUAACAAAAACAUGUCUAUAUGAAGGUAUAUAUAGUUUAACCUGCUCACUGAUUAUAUUAAAGAGCCGCAGUAUUCUGACUGUGCGAAGGUAGCAUAAUAAAUUGUCUUUUAAAUGAAGGCUUGAAUGAAAGGUUGGACAAAGUGUCAUCUGUUUCUUAAAUAUUUAUUGAAUUUGACUUUCAAGUGAAAAGGCUUGAAUAAAUUAAAAAGACGAUAAGACCCUAUAAAUCUUUACAAUAAAUAAAUUUUAUAUUUUAAUUUAUAAGUAUAUAAGAUAUUAAGUUUAAUAGUUGUUUCGCUGGGGCGGCGUAGAUAUAUAAAUAAACUGUCUAUAUAUUAAAUUCAAUAAUUAUUGAUUAAUUAUAUUGAUCCUUAAAUAGAUUAAAAGAUUAAGAUACUUUAGGGAUAACAGCGUUAUUUUUUCUGAGAGUUCUUAUCGAAGAAAAAGUUUGCGACCUCGAUGUUGAAUUAAGGUAUCUUUAUGGUGUAGUCGCUAUAAGAGAGAGUCUGUUCGACUUUUAAUACUUUACAUGAUUUGAGUUCAGACCGGCGUGAGCCAGGUUGGUUUCUAUCUUUUAUUAAAUGUUAAAUUAUUUUAGUACGAAAGGACCAAAUAAUUAAAAAAUUUUUAUAAUUCAGAAUAUUAAUAUCUUCUUAAUUAUUAGUUUGUAAACUAAAUAAUAUUAUAAAAUAAUAAAGAAGAAAACAUU